RNAcentral lists this ribosomal RNA (1385 nucleotides) under metagenome. RNAcentral's name for it is "bacterial SSU rRNA". It matches the Rfam family "Bacterial small subunit ribosomal RNA". The record is from RNAcentral.
AGAGUUUGAUCCUGGCUCAGGAUGAACGCUGGCGGCGUGCUUAACACAUGCAAGUCGAACGAUCCUUCGGGAUAGUGGCGGACGGGUGAGUAACGCGUGGGAGUCUGCCCUCAGGAGGGGGAUAACGGCUGGAAACGGCCGCUAAUACCCCAUAUGCCGAGAGGUGAAAUGAAUUUCGCCUGAGGAUGAGCCCGCGUCUGAUUAGCUAGUUGGUGGGGUAAAGGCCUACCAAGGCGACGAUCAGUAGCUGGUCUGAGAGGAUGAUCAGCCACACUGGGACUGAGACACGGCCCAGACUCCUACGGGAGGCAGCAGUGGGGAAUUUUCCGCAAUGGGCGAAAGCCUGACGGAGCAACGCCGCGUGAGGGAUGAAGGCCUCUGGGCUGUAAACCUCUUUUCUCAAGGAAGAAGAACUGACGGUACUUGAGGAAUAAGCCACGGCUAAUUCCGUGCCAGCAGCCGCGGUAAUACGGGAGUGGCAAGCGUUAUCCGGAAUUAUUGGGCGUAAAGCGUCCGCAGGCGGCCUUGUAAGUCUGUUGUUAAAGCGUGGAGCUCAACUCCAUUUAAGCAAUGGAAACUACAAGGCUGGAGUGUGGUAGGGGCAGAGGGAAUUCCCGGUGUAGCGGUGAAAUGCGUAGAUAUCGGGAAGAACACCAGUGGCGAAGGCGCUCUGCUGGGCCAUAACUGACGCUCAUGGACGAAAGCCAGGGGAGCGAAAGGGAUUAGAUACCCCUGUAGUCCUGGCCGUAAACGAUGAACACUAGGUGUCGGGGGAAUCGACCCCCUCGGUGUCGUAGCCAACGCGUUAAGUGUUCCGCCUGGGGAGUACGCACGCAAGUGUGAAACUCAAAGGAAUUGACGGGGGCCCGCACAAGCGGUGGAGUAUGUGGUUUAAUUCGAUGCAACGCGAAGAACCUUACCAGGGUUUGACAUCCUGCGAAUCCCUUGGAAACGAGGGAGUGCCUUCGGGAGCGCAGUGACAGGUGGUGCAUGGCUGUCGUCAGCUCGUGUCGUGAGAUGUUGGGUUAAGUCCCGCAACGAGCGCAACCCACGUCUUUAGUUGCCAGCAUUCAGUUGGGCACUCUAGAGAGACCGCCGGUGAUAAACCGGAGGAAGGUGUGGAUGACGUCAAGUCAUCAUGCCCCUUACAUCCUGGGCUACACACGUACUACAAUGCUACGGACAAAGGGCAGCAAGCUCGCGAGAGUUAGCAAAUCCCAUAAACCGUGGCUCAGUUCAGAUCGUAGGCUGCAACUCGCCUACGUGAAGGAGGAAUCGCUAGUAAUCGCAGGUCAGCAUACUGCGGUGAAUACGUUCCCGGGCCUUGUACACACCGCCCGUCACACCAUGGAAGUUGGCCAUGCCCGAAGUCGUUACUCCAACCC